This 258-nucleotide long non-coding RNA is filed under the name Elaeis guineensis (African oil palm). RNAcentral describes it as "long non-coding RNA (EGUI_LNC026296)". Lineage: Eukaryota; Viridiplantae; Streptophyta; Magnoliopsida; Arecales; Arecaceae. The record is from RNAcentral.
UACAUAGAUUGAGUCUGAGCAAAUAGUUGCUAAGUUUGCUCUAAAUGAGUUGAAGUAUCAUUUUUAUUUUGAAGUCAAAGAUAUAAAUUAUCUGGAUAAAAAAUAUUACAAAUAUCUGUAUGAGGUUGGUAAUAGAGCUCAUGAUGGUUUGUAGGUACAGUAUAAGAACCUGCAAUAUCAUUACAAUUUAGCGAUGGAGAGCUAUAGGCAACUUGAAGCAAAAUAUAAUGCUUUACAGGAGGAGGUCGCUAGAUAUAG